CCACAAGCUUCCCCAAGACGCGGAGAAAGGUGGAAAUCCAACUCACUCACUUUUCGACAGAUAUAACAAUGCUUUUCUUCGUCGAAUUGGUAAGAAACAGGAAUUCGAGAACUAAAUCGAUGAUUUGCUUUGUUUCCCCUAUUUUUCUUGCUGAUACUCUUUUGUAUGUAACAUCUACCACAGUCUUGUCCUAUGUGAACAUGGUAUGUAGUAAUCUCAGGCAUACCAUUCCCAAGUCCGUAGUUUAUUGUCAAGUGCGCGAAGCUAAGCGUAGCUUACUUCAUAAUUUCUUAGGGUGAAUAAAACUCAACCAUUGACUCUGUCUCAUCGCAACUUUCAUUUCCCAAAGCACAACAACAAGAAUCAUCAAUAAGAACAAGAUCAUCGUCAACAACAACAACGAGAAUCAUCAUCAAGAACAAUCAUCAACAACAGAGUCAACGUUUGAAGAAGCCUUCAGAAACGCGAAUGCAAGGUGAAUUAGAGUUGCCACCUGGUUUCAGAUUUCAUCCAACCGAUGAAGAAUUGGUGAAUCAUUACUUGUGUAGAAAAUGUGCUGGCCAAUCAAUUUCUGUUCCUGUUGUUAAAGAAGUUGAUUUGUAUAAGUUUGAUCCAUGGUAGCUUCCUGGUACUUCAUUUUUUCACUUAUGAAUCAUUUCUUUUGUUA
This is a long non-coding RNA of Vicia villosa (hairy vetch), 667 nucleotides long. RefSeq lists it as uncharacterized. The record is from RefSeq and is a predicted model, not a curated record. The transcript has 2 exons. NCBI's taxonomy places the organism in Eukaryota, Viridiplantae, Streptophyta, Magnoliopsida, Fabales, Fabaceae.